RNAcentral lists this ribosomal RNA (530 nucleotides) under uncultured bacterium. Its description in RNAcentral is "partial 16S ribosomal RNA". It matches the Rfam family "Bacterial small subunit ribosomal RNA", at positions 355 to 871 of the family's 1533-position model. The record is from RNAcentral.
UGGGGAAUAUUGCACAAUGGGCGCAAGCCUGAUGCAGCCAUGCCGCGUGUGUGAAGAAGGCCUUCGGGUUGUAAAGCACUUUCAGCGAGGAGGAAGGUGGUGAACUUAAUACGUUCAUCAAUUGACGUUACUCGCAGAAGAAGCACCGGCUAACUCCGUGCCAGCAGCCGCGGUAAUACGGAGGGUGCAAGCGUUAAUCGGAAUUACUGGGCGUAAAGCGCACGCAGGCGGUUUGUUAAGUCAGAUGUGAAAUCCCCGGGCUCAACCUGGGAACUGCAUUUGAAACUGGCAAGCUAGAGUCUCGUAGAGGGGGGUAGAAUUCCAGGUGUAGCGGUGAAAUGCGUAGAGAUCUGGAGGAAUACCGGUGGCGAAGGCGGCCCCCCUGGACGAAGACUGACGCUCAGGUGCGAAAAGCGUGGGGGAGCAAACAGGAUUAGAUACCCCUGGUAGUCCACGCUGUAAAACGAUGUCGAUUUGGAGGUUGUGCCCCUUGAGGCGUGGCUUCCGGAGCUAACGCGUUAAAUCGACCG